This 484-nucleotide ribosomal RNA is filed under the name uncultured bacterium. RNAcentral describes it as "partial 16S ribosomal RNA". It matches the Rfam family "Bacterial small subunit ribosomal RNA", at positions 30 to 507 of the family's 1533-position model. The record is from RNAcentral.
AUUGAACGCUGGCGGCAGGCCUAACACAUGCAAGUCGAGCGGAUGAAGGGAGCUUGCUCCUGGAUUCAGCGGCGGACGGGUGAGUAAUGCCUAGGAAUCUGCCUGGUAGUGGGGGAUAACGUCCGGAAACGGGCGCUAAUACCGCAUACGUCCUGAGGGAGAAAGUGGGGGAUCUUCGGACCUCACGCUAUCAGAUGAGCCUAGGUCGGAUUAGCUAGUUGGUUGGGUAAAGGCCUACCAAGGCGACGAUCCGUAACUGGUCUGAGAGGAUGAUCAGUCACACUGGAACGGAGACACGCUCCAGACUCCUACGGGAGGCAGCAGUGGGGAAUAUUGGACAAUGGGCGAAAGCCUGAUCCAGCCAUGCCGCGUGUGCGAAGAAGGUCUUCGGAUUGUAAAGCACUUCAAGUUGGGAGGAAGGGCAGUAAGUUAAUACCUUGCUGUCUUGACGUUACCUACAGAAUAAGCACCGGCUAACCUCGUG